AUUGAACGCUGGCGGCAGGCUUAACACAUGCAAGUCGAGCGGGGGAAGGUAGCUUGCUACUGGACCUAGCGGCGGACGAGUGAGUAAUGCUUAGGAAUCUGCCUAUUAGUGGGGGACAACAUCUCGAAAGGGAUGCUAAUACCGCAUACGUCCUACGGGAGAAAGCAGGGGAUCUUCGGACCUUGCGCUAAUAGAUGAGCCUAAGUCGGAUUAGCUAGUUGGUGGGGUAAAGGCCUACCAAGGCGACGAUCUGUAGCGGGUCUGAGAGAAUGAUCCGCCACACUGGGACUGAGACACGGCCCAGACUCCUACGGGAGGCAGCAGUGGGGAAUAUUGGACAAUGGGGGGAACCCUGAUCCAGCCAUGCCGCGUGUGUGAAGAAGGCCUUAUGGUUGUAAAGCACUCUAAGCGAGGAGGAGGCUACUUUAGUUAAUACCUAGAGAUAGUGGACGUUACUCGCAGAAUAAGCACCGGCUAACUCUGUGCCAGCAGCCGCGGUAA
Molecule: ribosomal RNA, 501 nt
Filed under: uncultured bacterium
Lineage: Bacteria
Description: partial 16S ribosomal RNA
Rfam family: Bacterial small subunit ribosomal RNA
Source: RNAcentral